Non-coding RNA from Podarcis lilfordi (Lilford's wall lizard), 1304 nucleotides. Lineage: Eukaryota; Metazoa; Chordata; Lepidosauria; Squamata; Lacertidae. The record is from the annotation of a GenBank genome assembly.
AAGAAAAAACAGAGCCAGAGAGAUAGAGAUCUAUUUACAACAUAUUUUCCUGCCAUGACUGAAGACACUUCAUCUCUGUCAGAAAAGAAGGAGCACCACAGCAGCUGUGCCUACACAAAAUGCAGUGGGAAAGCUCAAGAAAGCAAGCCAGGCUGGCUGGAAUAAAGGCUGAAGGGCAAAGCAUUGGCUUGCUUGCAGACAGCAAGCUAAGAUAUCCACCCAAGGGAAAAACCCAUUCUAGGUUCCGCUGGACAUUGGCGCAGGUGAGUAACAUCUGUUCCUCCAGCUAGAUUGAUAAGCAAACCUUAUCUAUCCGCAGCCAAUAGAAUCUACUUUACUCCUAGGAAGAGCAAGAUAACAACAGAGCAAGACUGGAGUAAAAGCCCUAUCUCCUUCUGCCACAGCUCUCAGCCCAGGGUAAAGGGGCAGUACAAGUCAACCAAUUGCAGCAAGCCAGCUCAAGCUUCCUAAAUGGUGGCCUUGUUCCCUGGCUCUGGGGUUCUAACCUAACAGGCUGGGACACGUCCACCCAGAAAGGAGGAAGCCACCACCUAGGGAACUCGUUUAGAUUUUCACAAUCAGGAAACAAAUGGUGGGGGGGGGGGAGGAUAGUGAUGACAGCUCUUCUGGAAAGGGAAUGCACCUUCUGCACAAAUAUUUGCUUAACUGCAGAUUUGCCUGCAUGAAGGAAGAAGAGUAAUUAUUACAUAAUUUUAUGCAGGGAAUGAUUUACCUUACACUUGGAUUGAGUACUACAAUUAGAGGGAAGGCAGUAAAAUGCAAGAAGGUCCAUAAUGUGCACCGUGGCUUUCUUAAUAGCGCAACUCUAAGUAUACCUACUUGAAAGGGAGAUUCACUGAACUUGUUGUAGGGGUUUAUCUCUGAGCAGACCCCUGACAGACAAGCCAAAGAUGACUCAAGCUCUAGAUUGUGCUUUCUCCACCCACUAAGCCAAAAAUAUCCAUGGAUUACAUAAUGGUAGGUGUUUGUCAGUCUCCAUAGUUUUGAAGAAAAAACAGGAGGUUACUAAGCCCCAGCUUCAGUUAUGCCUGCCUGCUCUAAAUUCUCAGUUGUGAUGAUACAAGCUCCCUACCUCUCCUGUGUUUUAUCAGAAAUGAGUCCCUUUUGUAUUACAUACUGCACUGGCUUCCUAAGGUUGAAAUAACAACUUUUCUCAUUCCUUUAUUACUUCCAGCCUGGAGCUACCUCACGUUUUAGCUCUACAGUACUGAUUUACCCACCCACUGGUGUCUGCUUGCUCAGGCUGGCCCACCGUCCUAUGAAUAGAUCAGACAGAAAUAAAG